Molecule: long non-coding RNA, 13087 nt
Organism: Falco peregrinus (peregrine falcon)
Lineage: Eukaryota; Metazoa; Chordata; Aves; Falconiformes; Falconidae
Exons: 8
Source: RefSeq, a predicted model, not a curated record
GCUGGCGGGUGCUGGGGGGAGCAGGCGCCCCGCAGCCCCAGCCAGGGCGAGCCGGGCAGGCGGCUGUCCCCCUGCGGGGCGGCCCGAGGCAACAGUGAGCGCCCGUUGCCCGUGGAGAGGAGCGGGAGCGCUGGUGCCAACCGAGGGGACGGACGUGACUUUCCUGGGUGGCUUCCUGGCUCACCGGGGAGGGAAAGUGCCGCGUGUCCUGCGCCCGGCGCUUCUCCCUGGGAGCUCCGGAGGGUGCCGGGAGGUGCCCGGCGCUGCACGGCCCCGGCGCAGCCCCCCCGGGGCGGCCAGUGCGAGGGCUGCAGGGCGAGGAUCACCUGCGCCCGGCAGCUCGGGGCUCUCUGUGACCCGACGUGCUGCUGAGGGCGAGCUGUUACGGAAGGUGUCCUCGUAAAUAAAAUCGGAGUUUUUGUGAGGUGCAGUCCCCAUACAUUUUUAACCACAGCGAUUACUAAAUUAAUAGCAGGCCCUAAGACAGAUGUCAAAACGUCUUGAAAAUGUUUAUCUGUGAAUAAUUGAGAAGGUGGUAAGACGCAUUAUCUGAUUGUAUAAUGAAAUAUGUAUGAGGAACAGCUGUUUGCAAUAGUCACCUCCCGUUGUUUCAUUAGCCUAGAGCCUCCCCCUGCAAGGCGCGCUUCCCUGAAGUUGGCCAUUCAGCGCCGGCUGCUUCCACCGGCGGCGGCGGCCGCGCUGUGUCCCCAGGAGCCGCGGCGGGGCAGGGGUGACCCGGUGCUGUCCCUAGGCCGGGCCGCGGGCUGUCCCCGUGGCACCUCUCACCGGUGGUUCGCUCCGAGGGCGGGAGGGCGGAGGCGCGGGUGGGGUCCGAAGGUGUCUGGCCGGGCAACCUCCAGCUGGAGAGGAUGCCCCGGGAGGAAGGAGGCUCGAUGCUCACCUCGGAGGCUCGGCGAGCGGCCAUUUAUGAAGGUUUCAUGCCGAGCAGCAACAGCCUCCUCCGCUACUUAGUGUUGACACAAACUUCCAGACGUCGAGCAUAUGCUGUUGCACAGCAUUGUUUAUGUGUGGUACCAGAUGUUGCUUUGCAUCCUAUUGUCUGGAGACAAUGUUUGGUUCAGGUUAAAAUAUCUUUACUUGAACUGCUCAGUUGGCCAUUGUGUGAGCAUUAGUGAAGUGUCAUGGAGAGGUAAUGGGAAGUCCGGGGAGGUUAGCUCUCCGAGCGUGGCCAGGAGGUCCCUGGUUCAUGGUGGGGUUACAGCCACCACUGUCAUCUUUUGUUUUCCCUCCUCAGAGAACCCUUGUCCUUCCUCUAAAAGGAUGUGCCCCGCUCUCUUUCCCCUCGGAGCUUUCUCCACCGGUUCCAUGAAACAGCCCGAUGUUUGUUUUUCUAGUUCCCGUAAAUCGCCCGAAAGAGGAAAGGACAGCGCGGUCCUGCGUCACCGCCGGCCGGGCCGGGCGGAGCGGGGCGGCCCCACGCCCCUGCCCGGGGGCGCCGGCGCCGGGGGGACAUCGGCCUCGGCCGCGGAGUUCACGCUCCGGCCGGGGCAGCGGCUCCUUGCCCCCGAAACGCCCGCCGUCCCCGCCGGCGGCGCGGCCGAGCGGCCCAGGCCGGGCGGGCGGAGGGGGCGGCGGGCCGCGCCCCGGCAGCACCAGCCGUUCGGCGGCAGCCCCCGUUCCGCCGGCCGGGGGAGCGGCUCGCCUGGAGCCCUUUCUUCCCUUUAACCCCGCAGCCUGGGCCGGCCGCGGCGGCUGACCUGUGGCAAGACUUUUGCUCCGGGAGAGAGCGGGGAAGAAAGCUAUAGACUUUAAUCGGAUUUCUCCCCAAACACUUCUGGUAUAAUAGAGUGAAGACUUGUACAAAGAAAAUUCACUGCAUAAACACCUGCCCAAGAAGGGAAGGUUUGCCCUUACCUCAUCUACAGGAUUUCUUUAAAUCGUCCAUAGUCCUUUGUAGCCAUAUACAGUAUGCGACAGAGCAAUUUGGAAAAGAUUCAUCUAUCAAGUUAAACAACUUUCUGGUGUAACUUCAGAGAGGUUUAUUGCUUAUUCAUGUGGAAGGUUGCCAAGAGAAACCCUCCAUGCUGGCCAAAGGAAUAAUACACAUUAAGAAAGAGUCUCUGAUGGCACCUGUGAUUAAAAUGAACAUUAAUUAAAAAUGGAUGGGUGAGAGGAAAUAAUGUUACUACCCUCUUUAGAUCAGGUACGAGAACAGGGCAAGAAUGACUGACUGAGACAUUAAGGCAGCCUCAGAAAUACAACAUAGCUGCCCUGGAUUCAGGGCUCUAGGAGAUUAACCUGCUUUUAGGUUUCUGUUCCUUUUUUCAUAGUCCCCAGUCAUCUUUUUGGGCAUAAUGCUCAAGCCCACAAAAUGUAGGUGUAAGAGAAAACAGUUUUUGAGAACAUUCAUCCCAAAUCUGACUGCAGAUGGUAUUUUGGAGUCACUUUUCCUUAGUUGUCCCGGCCUUUGCAAUGAAUACUCUAGUUCCUUGGAAGUAGAAAGCUUUAAAAAGUAGCAUACUUCCCUUUUCUGUGAUCCUAAAGCAUCAUCCUCAUAUUUUCCCUCAUUUAAGAGCCAGAAAGCACAAAAAGAAUGAAGUGCUAGGACCAACAAGAACAUGUGUUUUGCUGGCAAUGGUGAAUGGUGCACUUUAUCUGACGAAGUGUAAAUUUUUUGAUGCUGAGGGACAACAGCAUCACUUUAGUUCUUAUGAAGUAGGAAGUAGCUGAAAUUAUUUUUAUGUAAUUUUUCUUCCACUUGUGGCGAAGUGGUAUUUUCUUUAUUAGCAAGGACAAGAGGUCAUAAAUUUUGAAGUGCUAUGUAGCGUAAAACACUUAUUUGACUUAUCCAGAGCCAGGGUGCAAGUGCUUUAGGAUAGAAUCUGCUUUCCUCUUCUCCCAUUCUAUAUGUGAACUUCUACCUUGUUACAAACAUGCCUUAAUACAAUACCUGUGCACUCGUAUAACCAUACCAAUUCCACAGGGCCCACAGUUCACCCUUAGGAUUUAAGUGUUCUUAGUUAAGCUCUGUGAUGGCUUUCUGCGAGAAUGGGACUUUAAAUCACUAUGCCUACAAAACAGACCCACUGGGAAGAAACCUCUUUUCUGACUAACCUUAAAAUUACGUCAGUCUUAGGAAAAAGCGUGCUAUGAGUCCAUCAGUUUUCCCAGUAAACAUUUUCAAUGCUUUUUUACUGUGUAGGCAUAGCUUACCCCCUAUUUUACAUUGGAGAAGAGUUCAGAUCUUUGUUUCCAAGGCAAAGUUACAGAGAAAAGAAAGCUGUUCUCCUGGAAGAGCUGAUACCAGUAGCAGGAGGAAGGUUUUUUUGUAUACUAAAGAGGACUUAUGUUUGCAAGCUUUCCCCCCCCCUAGUUAAAACAGUUGGUCUAAAAGAAAAUACUGCUGCUUUUCUGAAAAUACUGGAGUUCUUGUCUGUAGACAUACUACUGCUACAACAGCAGUAACAUUACCAUACUUUGUCCUGUAGGUGUGAGCAAAGUAAACUUAUAAUGCUUUUGAGAUGAAUUCUUACCAUGCCUUUAGCCCUUUUGCACUGCUAUUUUAUUUGCAGUUGGUGCUCCCCUGGAAGUGAGCAGAGGCUCUGUGCUCGGACCUACAGCUUUGUAGGCUUUCCCGUAACACUGUCACAGAAUCCCAGAAGCACAGAAUGAUUGGGGUUGGAAAGGACCUCUGGAGAUCAUCUAGUCCAACCACCUGCUAAAGCAGGUUGUCCUAGAGCAGGCUGCACAGAGUUGCGUCCAGGCGGGUUUUGGGAGGACUAAGGCUUUUCUCCAGUUUACUCUGCAGCCCUCAGAAGUCUACCCUGAGUUAUGUUUACUGGGCUUACUACCUGUCAUAGUGAAAGUCAGAUGAGGAUGUUCUGCUACCACUACACUUGAGUAUUUGAGGAGCUCUAAAGAGCCUUGAGGUCCUCUACUGCUUUCAAGAUGCUUUCUCCCCACUCAGAGGAGCGUAAAUUCAGCCACUGACGGAGGUCAGAACAUGGAUCCGAGAGUUUAGCUUGUAAUGCCCCUGUGCUGCACUAGCCUUCAGAAAGGUAGCUGUCUGCUCCACAGGCGUGAGGCCAGCGCAGCCUGCACUUUGCUUUUCUUUAGAGACUCUUGCCAAGAGCUCUCUGGGUCUGAGGAAGCAAAUCAGCAUCGAGCCUUCAAGCAGAACUUGCCAGUCUGGCACCUGUUUUGUAGCACGGCAUUGCAAGGACUUCAGCUUUUCACAUCUCUUUAUUUAGUUUGACUGUUUAUGGCCUUUCAAAUACAACUGUCUUCUGAGUGCCCAAAUGCCGCAGGGGACAGUUUGGCUUUGUGAAAAGACAGGGAAAAAAUGGAAAUACAGCAGCUUCCCUAAAGGCUUAUUUAUAAGGUAGACUGCUGCUUGUGGCUUCUUUCCCAUGGAAGACAUAAUUUAUCCUAGUGUUUGACAUAUAUGAAGAUACCACCCCUGCUCUUUGCCAGCAUCAAAAGGAAGAUGUGCUCAAAGAUCUACAGCCCAAGUUGUAUGCAGAGAUUAUCAGCUGCUUCAGAUUAAGCACAUCUAACAUCACUGGGACCAAACUGGAUAUUGCGUUACUAUCCUUUUUACCAUUCUUUUUAUUCUUACAUGUAUAUACAAUAGUUCACUUGAAAAACAAAACACUGAAAUAAAAGCAGCACACAUUUUUCCUGCUGAAGUGGUCUACCUGGUAAUAAGAUACAAGUACUCAUUUCUAAAAGAUACUUUAGAAAGGGUCAAAGUUACAGUAGGAAAGGAAAGGUUCAGUCUGGCCUUUUCAAGAGAACUUGGUUGGUGCCUAAUAUUACUCCAUUUUGGUGGGAUAGAGCUAAAGCAUCACCAGAGUCCAGAGCAAUUUCACACAUAAGCAUGGGUAGAUUUCCUGGUGAACAUUUAAGGGUGUUGCAGCAUCCUCGCUAGAUUACAGUGUAAACUGUGGCCACGUCUCUGCUCUGCUCCCUACACAUGUUAUAGGUGCAAUCAUCUCUGUGUAAAUCCCUUUGGGGAUCUGGGCCUGAGUCUUUUUGAAAAUCCCACCCACAUGGGACACCCGUAGGUCAAAUGAAAAAUUGCAUAAGCUAUUAAAUAAAGCUAUAGCUUAUAAAAAGUUACCCACAAGAAAGGUACACAGGUUAGUGCUGCUCCAGGGCGUCCUUAAAUCACACUUCAGCAAGUUAUAAAGUUAUCUUUGGAGAGCAAUCAUACCAGGUUGUCAGCCCUAUAAAGAUAGAUUUAUGUGUCUCUGACAUGUCAGUUGUCGUCUUUGCCACUUCAUUGCGGCUGUGAUAUUUUAGCAGGAGGUAACCACCACUAUUCCCCUGCCUGAAAAUCCACAGAAUUUUUCUCUGUAAACAUCUCUUACCCUGGGUAUUUCCCCAUCGCAGGGCUCCAUCUCUGAAUUCAUCUGCGUGUUUGCUUAAUUCUCACUCACAGGUCAGUGCUUGUUUGUCUCAAAUUUUUCUCUUCUUAAUCUCAAUUUAUGUAGCAGAAGGUUCACAGGCAAACCUUUUGCCCACAGAAGGCUCCAGAGUUUAGUGUUUUUUUACUAGUCAUAUCAUUUAAACGGAGACAAUUUUUUCUUUCUGAGGAAGUAAUACAGGUCAUCAUCCUGCAUUGGAAAAGUUACAGUCUUCAUCAAGAAGGAGCUUCAUCUAGUGGUUUUGUUAGUAAUCUGUACUGUCGAUGCAAUAUUUUUGUUGAGCUUUCUUUCAGGGCUUGACUCAUUUCUCCAUAUAUUCUCCCAGCAUAUUGUUCUGAAGUUGGAAAAAUGAUUUGUUCUGGCUGAGUUUAAAGUGAACAAUUAGAGAAUGGGAACUCAUGGAGCGAGCUUAAGCAAAAUUAGCUCCCAGAGAAAGAGGCUCUAAUUUUCCUGAAAGGUGAGCACAGUGGCAGUGCUGAUGCCAGGCGGGAGGCUGUGUCCUCAUUUCAGCUACACCAGAGCCUGAACCCUUGCCCCAGGUUCACAGCCGUGCGCACAGAACUGGUGUUUGGUAGACAGAGGCUAGAGAGAGAAUAGUGCAUGAUCCAGUACAAAUCUUUCACCUAAGUGAUAUAAUGUUCCUGAUAGUCUUUAACUUUUGCACAAAAUGCCCCCUGGAGACAUGUUUACAGAGUUGCCAUUUCAGCAAAUGACAUUUUGCAUAUUCUUUGGAAAUGCCACAUAGGUAGUGCAAUCAUCGUCAGCUGCAAAGUGACCAUGUGAACGGAAUAUGACUCAGCUGCUCUCUGGGUUACGAAUGCAGGCUGGCUUAGACUGGCAGGCAGUAAGAGAAGCUGCAGUCGGCCUGGGAAGGGGAUAAAACACAUUCCCCUCAGCACUGCCGUUUUGGGAUUCCUGCAGUGUCCUACACAAUAUGCUGGCAUGUAGCGGAGAUCUGCUUCAUACCAAUGAAUAUUUUUUGAUAAAAAAACCCUCUUUCUAAAAGUUUCUUUUUUCAGAGUGAUUCACCAGAAUCAAGACUCAGAAGCUGCUAAGGAAAUAUUCUAAAAGCUUUAAUGGCAUCACUUUUGGAAAUUCCUGGUUAUUUCCUUUCUCUCAUUAUGGCACACCAAAACUUACUAAAGGCCCAUAUGAGUUUCCCCCUAAAUCCAUGCUUUAAUUUCCUGUUGUCUCCACUGAACUUUGUGACUAUGCUCUUGACUUUACUGAUCUGAUUAUUCCCUUUGCCCACACCUGCCUACUGCCAUCUCCUUCCUCAUGCUGGGGACAACCUGUUUUUACUAAUCACCAGAAAGCCUUUCUAUUUCUGGUUGGAAUGAUUUUUGAAAAUAACUUCUCUCUUUGCCAUUAACUCUCUUCAAAUGGUUGGUCAUGGUUUAUUCUGAAGUUGUCUGUUUCCUUUAGACUGUAAGUGUUUUACAAGAUAAAACGUGUCUGAUCUCACUGUUAACACUUUGCAGGGUUCAGAGCAGAACCGAGUGAGAUCAAGUAAACCCACUCAUGAAACUUCUCAGGAUUUCAUUGAUGCUCCAGUUCUUUCCUGUAGCAAACUCGGGUGCUUUUAGAAAGUUUGUUUUUAUACAAACACGCACAACAACAAAAGGGAUGUACAGCAUGUGAUCUCCCCUACAUUCUCAGGUUCAGAUUCCUGACCUGCUAUCUCUCUAACUACAGAUGACUGUGCCAAUUCACCCACAGCCUGAUAGUUAUCCUAGGGCAAGGUACACUCCACAGCUUCUGCUAGAGAUGAUCUGCUUCCUAUAGCAAUGUAUUCUUCAGAGUCAUUAGCUGAAUUUGCAUCCUCAUAUAUUGGGUGAGCGUCCCCACAACUGCGCUGCAGAACUGCACUGGAACUGAGCUGCACUUUCUAAUGAAAAUUCAUUUUGUUGAAAAAUUCCCAAUCAGCUCUAAUUUGGAAGCCCCAGCUGAGCUCCCGCUGUGAGACACAUAUCGUAAGAGACAGAUCUUGCUGUGAAGGGCUGGCGGGUUGGAGAGACGGAGGCUGAGAAGAAAAGCACAAUAGAAAGGUGAAAUGGCUUCCUUGGAAUCACACAAUGGGUCACUGGCAGUUUUAGGUCUUCCUAGUGCCAACCACAGCCCGUGCUACCUCUCACAUCCCGAGCUCACAGACAGGCUCUGCUUUCCCCCGGCCAUCUUUUCAUUAACUAGAUUAUUCUUGCGUGUAGAUUAAUGCAUGGGUGCACAAGUUCAGCAGUUUUGAACCUUACUCUUACAAGGCAUCACGUACAUAUAUGGUACCAUCAAAAACUUUGAGGCAACAGAUAACAAGGAUGUCACAGUAAAAUACUAAAAAGGCAGACCCUGGUGCGCCAGAGCAGGCAAGGGGAGAAGGAAAAUCAAGUACUGUUUGAACUAAAGUGUGUCAGCUGCUCUGAGCAAGGUAAGAAAUAUCAGUCAUGCUUUACAGUUUGGAAAAUCUGGCAUAAAUUCAUGCAUCUGAGCCUGUACAGUUUAUUAAGCCAAUGCCAUGGUCAGAAUGUGAUGCCUUACUUAAAAUUAAACUUUUUCCUUCAGAAGCUUCCCUGUGUCCCUAAGACUCUUUAGGAAUUUUUAUUCUAAGAGCAAUUUUUUUUUCUUGUGGUUUACACUGAUUAGUAGGAACAGAUUAGAGAUAACUUGUUGUGUUUUAUAAAUAGCCUAACAGUGUAUUUUGUAUCUUUUUCCCAAGAGCUUUCUGAAACUAAAAUUUCUCUUUGAGGACAGCUGGUCCAUGCCCCUGAGGAAAAAAGGUGCUUAUGGCAAGGCUGAGGUUAAUGAUUGUAAUUUACAGUUUUUGUGGAAAUAUAAUUUUGCUUUUGCAGAAAUCUCUCUCUCUCCAUUGUUUUAAAAAAGCAAAGAUACUUAAAUAGGGCUUUACAUUUUAUUACCCCAAAACGCAUUUGUUUGACUAGAUCAUGUCAGUAUGUUAACAAAAUAAUUGAUAUUCCAAACAUGCUUGGUGAACUUGAAUAGCAAAGUGAAGUUUAUAUAUUUAAUCAGAUAUAUUCAGUAAUUCUAGUGGAAGAUGCAGAAGUGUUUUCCAUCAAUAUUUCCUUAACUUUGAAAUGAAUAUACAUUGCCCAAGUUCUCGUUCUUGUGGAUCCAUUUUCUAUCCAUAACCAAGCAACUGAAUUUCUUUGUAUGAAUGUUUACAAAGGUUGAAAAGGAAAAAAAACCCACAGGGCUGUAUGGGCAACCCUUCUUGCUGGAAGUGCUUUUACAGAUAGGUUUUCAAGGGAAGAAAAAGUUUUGCAGCUUUUCAAGCCGCGAGUUGUAAGGGGAAAGUGGCAGCUGAACAAAACAUGUUCUUUCAACCAAGCAGCGAAGCAACAGUAUAGAGCCAGAGCUGGUAGUCCUUGUGCUGCAAAUCCACAUCAAUUCAACUAAGACCAAGCACUUGUGAAUACUAAAUUCACACUAGUGUAGCUGGGAGUAGAAAUGGGCCUUUCUUUUCGAACUCUUUGGAAUCUGAACUGAAAAAAAGUAGCAGGGUUUAACCUUUAAACUUUUCACUGACCUGUAAGCAGUACUUUGGAUUAUAUCUGCCCUUGUUAAUCUGAAGCCACUUGCAAACAUAACUGGCAUUCCUGUUUUUAUAAGUAUACCUCACAUAGGUUAUAGAAUGGGUUAAAAGUUCAAAAGUUUGGCUCCUGUUCAUUGUGUCUUUAACACCUUUAUAAGUGUUCACCUUUGCAAAUAAAUUUUGUUAGUUAGCAGCAACAUAAGCAAUGCUUUGUGUCAAAGUGCAUUACUUAGGUGAUGGCCAGAUGUAAAUCUAAACUCUUGGAGGUGCAAACCCGAUUGUUGAUCAAGACACUAAAUUUUGCAGAAGUCCUGUGUUACUGUAGCGCUCUAUGAGGACCAGAUAUUUUAAUACCACUUUCCAGCACAGUGCUGGAUCUCGCUGUCGGUCUGUUAUCAUUUUAGCUUCAUCAGAUGAAACAGCAAGAUGGCCAAAGGCAGAUUCUCCUUUCUACAGCAUCCUGGGACUGGUAGCAGCUGCACAAGACGACUGACAAGAGGGAUUAUUCCCACCUUCACUGGGGAACGAAGAGAGACAGCAGCCCUGCUCCUUAGGCCAUUGGUUAGGACACUUAUGGGACCCAUGUGUUUGAAAGCUUCACGUGGGAAAAGAAAAUAGAGCCUGAAACACUCAUACCCCAGGCCAAAUGCAGUGGCACCAUGCAGCUGUCUGGAGCCACAUUCUUUCUUCUUGCCACCUGACAGAUGGCAGAAGGUGGGUGGCUUUGGCAAAAUUAAUUAGAGACGCACUGAAGAAACAAUAACCAUGAACACCCUCUGGCAAAAAUAUGAUGUUAUUUGGCACAAAGAACCUUUGUGCAAAAGCAUUGCAGCAGCAGAAGUAUCCUGACUACCCUGAAGAAGAGGUCACCCAACAGAAAACAGUCCUUGGCAAAAGGAGAGCAGCGUGGCCGUGAGGUGUGGUCAUUAUCGCCAUUACCGCUUCUAACGCCUAACAGCUGACUCAUGCAGUUAUUUUCACUGAAAUAGUUGAUUGCGGCACCUUUACUCCCCCAUGCUGUCCUCAGUUCUGCAGAUUGCCUCGCUGUGCCAAAUACAUUCAGUCCAUCGCUUUUUCUCACGGAGAAUAAUUUAUUUGGUGGAAGAAUAUCUCAGUCUACAAAAUAUCCCUGCUGGUUUCAGUGCCAUUGAAGGAGCAAGGUAUUUGUGAAUGUCAGAACAAAGUCCGGUGUGGAUAGCUGAAAAAUAUGGAUGCUUCACUGUGAAGAUGUCCUGUUAUCUGUUAUUCGACUUAGUGCUUGACAAAUAGAUUUGAGAAUGGUAAAAGUAACAAGCUAUUUCACAGAAAUUAUCUUCUCCACUUUCUCACCCAUCACAACAUCUUCUCACAAAGUUUUCCAUAUACUGGGAAUCUUGAAUCCCACAGAACUCUCUGGUGAUGACUGGGUAAAUGCUGGGUAUAUGAGGAAGAAAAGGAAUUGCUGGCAUCAAAUAGGGAAGUUAAGAGAAUCAGGGCUUGAAGUAUGAGGAAAGAAGUCGCACCAUGUGGGAAAGUUCCAUUGUGUUGGAAAGAAGUUCCACUAUGGUUUCCCAAUAUGUGUUGCUCCACAUCGGUGUCAUCAGUGUCGUCGGUGACAGACGGGAGAUAGGAUGGCUGCUUCAUCUCUGCUAUGAUCAUGCUAACAGAUCUAAGUACUGUGGUUGCUCCCUCUUCAUAGGGCUCGUGGGACUGAAGAGCAAAAUGUAACACAGCUCUCCAAGCCAGUGACUGCAGUGCUCGCUGUCCUGUGUUUUGCUCUUGUGGUCUUUACAGGCAUCUGCAGCAAGCCUAGGUGAGUUAAUCUGCCUGUUGCACUGGUUUGUUCAUUCUUCUCUGUAUGUGCUGGCAGCUCUGUUAUCCCCUAGUUGCCAAAUAUUAGGAAAGACAUAGGCAGCUGAACUUUUACCAUUUUCCUCCUAGAGCUGUUCACCCCUUGUGUGCAAUUCACCAGAGGGGCAGAUGAGCCAGGGGUAUGAUUUAGCCUUGUGCACCUCAACCCAUUUGGGAAAAUUGCUCCAUCUUGUCAUGAAGUCCAAAUCACCUGGUUGACCAGCCCAAGAGGAGAUGUGGCAUAUUCCCUGCCCCCUAACUCCGCUGAGAAUAGCAGUGCAGCAUCUAUCCGUAACCCAGCCUCAUACAUAAGUCAGCCUGCUUUCACAGAAAACUGCUCCAACUCUACUUACUCCAAUGCAGAGACUUCCACUAGGUUCCCUGGCUUUGACUGAUGCACAGAUUAUAUCUGCUUGCCUCCAUUUUUAGUGAAAGAUGGAUGGAUAGGGAAAGCAGAGAAAUAGAACCAUGUACACAGUUAUUCUAGGUCUAGUAAGCCCACAUAAAGAGAUGCGAGUCGUGAGGAAAGGGUCAGGACCUUGCAGGAAAGUUGAACAGGAGAAGAUGUUGGAUGGGAAAGUGGAUCAUUGAGAAAGUGAACAGGGAGGGAGAGUGAUAGAGACAGAAAACGAAAGCAAAAAAGACAUAAGAACUAUAUAAAGAAAUAAGGUGGAAAGAAAAAGCAAAUGGCAAGGAAGACUAAUUGCGUAUUUCAUUGUCUGAAACAGUGUUUGUAGCUGCGAUAUGACAGUAAAAAUCAGGCUUGUUUUCACAGAUAAACACAGCACGUUCACUGUCAGGAAAAGCAUGACAGAAACAACUAGGGAAGAAAGAAUGAAUGGUCAGUUAUCUCAAGGAGAGGAGGUGGCUGCUGGAGACCCACAGGAAUCUGGGCUGAGAUCUAUAUUAAAACAGAAUUACUCAAGAUAGAAAAACUAAAACUUAGGUGAAGAGUUCAGAAACCCCCUCUUGAUCCCUCUUGAUACUGAGUAUCUGGGUAAUAAACCAGAACUCAAUAAAUUCUAGUUCAAUAAUGACAAUGCAUGUAGGGAAAACAAAUACAUCUACAUGGCGAUGAGCACUAAAUGAGCUAUUUCAUCUCAGGAAACACAUCUUCAAGAGCCUGAUAAAGAUGUCAGCUUAGUGGUCAGCAGCAGUAAAAACAAUUAAGAAUUAUUAGGAAAACACUGGAGAAAAAAUCAGAAACUAUUCUGCUGAUAUGUAGCCUGUGGUGGACAGUCACCUCAUCACAAAAACAACGUAGGUAAACCUAGAAAAAUACACUGAAAGACAGAAAGAAUGGUUAUCUGCAUUGAAUAGCAUGUUAUUUCUUCAGGAGACACAGAGAAGGUAAAUAUGAAAGGCUAUUAACUAUUUAUCACAACAAAGGAACAAGUGGUACAUAAGAAAUCACGGGGCAACAAAGCAAAUGAAAGAGAGUAUUUUUUUCACAGAGUAGCUGAAGUGUAAGACUCUUUGCUACAAGAUGUUGCCAAGGCUUAAAGAUAAGUAAACUCAGAAAAGACUCAGUAAAUCAUGGAAGGCAAGCCCUGCCACAGUGCAGCAUUGAGAUGCCAGAUCUGGGUGUGUAGUAGUAGCAAGUGAUGAACCACUAUAUAGUUCUCCGGUUUUCUGGAGACAGAAUACUGGAAAAUGUUUUGUGUGGGUUUUUUUUUUCCCGUUAUGUUUGAUCCAGUCAGAAUACUCUUUGAUAGUCUUUGAGAUACAAAUAGAAAAGAAAAGAAAGUACAGUGCUUUUAUGUUUGCAGGGGAUACAAAGUAGCUUUCAGGGGUCUGAGCUGUGGGGCAAAAAGCUUGAUGCAUUUUCUUCCUGAGAAGGCAGCUGCUUUACCUUUGGCUCUGAUGUAACUUGGGGAACCUGUUGUACCAGGCCAGUCUCACAUCAUUUCAUGUCCUAUUUUCAGAAGUCCUCUUUCCUUUGUUGGUUGCAUUAAUGUUAUGCUACUUAGAGAAAAUAAUCAGUGUAAAAUUACGCACAUAUAUACAGAAUGGUUAAAUAAACUCUCGUUCCCUAACUCGGAAACACAACAUUGUUUCCUUUGCUGCCGUGUGGAUCAACCAGAUCUAAAGUUUGUGAAGUGAGCACAGUUUAUCCCAGACUCAUGCUGGAAUAAUUUAUGUUCUUGAGCCUUUGCAGAUGUAUAGUUACUAGAGAGCUGUCUGCCUACAGGAGUUUUUACACAUAUUUCACCUAAAUCAACGCUCCAAAUGCAACAUCGAAGAUGCAGUGAGUUUGUGUGGAUUUGUAGCACUCCCUGGAGGACUCUAUGUCUAAAAACCAAUAAACAUUUCACCAUUCUCA